UUGGGUCUGGUUUGGUUUUUCUUUAUUCAACAGAGAAGAUGAGAAGAAGAAUAAAUAAUUGAUAAGUGAAAAAAUUGGUCAGACCAAGGAUGGGCCUGAGAAGUCGUCUGCUCCCACAGAAGGAAACUGGGCCCACGGAGCUUGUGACCUGGCAGCAGAACCAGAGCUGACCCCCUUUUCUGCCCCGAACGGCCCUUCCCUGGGGAACCCGAGAACAUCUCGGAACCAGGUUGGCGCCUCGGACACCAAAUCUCCCCUGGGUCUCAAAGGCCCUUUCUGGACUGGCAUCCUUGCCAGCCUCCGGUCGCUGAGAACAAUUCCUGAGGCCAGUGACCAGCCAGUGCCUGGAUGAAUGACCCUCCCUAGGGCAGAGAUCAUGGGGUCACACCUUAGAGGAGGGUGGUCUUAACCUGGGACCCUGAAGUUGGGUUUUGAAAUACAUUAACGCUGUGUUAUGGUGUGAUAUUAUAAACGUAUUUUAUUUCAUUUACAAAAACCGAUUGUGAAAAGUGCUCCAUAAAUU
Molecule: long non-coding RNA, 523 nt
Filed under: Sarcophilus harrisii (Tasmanian devil)
Lineage: Eukaryota; Metazoa; Chordata; Mammalia; Dasyuromorphia; Dasyuridae
Description: lncRNA (ENSSHAG00000027274.1)
Source: RNAcentral